UAUAGAUCCUCCAGGGCCUAGGACUGGUCACUCUUGCUUACAUUUUUAAGAGUUCACACAUUAAAAAAUAUUCUUCCUGAAAGAGCAAACUACUUAAAUCUCUUCCUACACUUACUACAUCUUACAUCAUUGGACCAAAAGUUGGAUGGAAACUUAAAGAUGAGUAAUUCCAGUCCUGACAGCUAUUUAAUGAUAUCUGUUUACUGACUAUAAAAAUAUUCUGUUGAGUAAAGACCAUGAGAAAUAUCAAGUGGAUGAGCCUGUUCAAAAAACAUAAAUGUUAGACUUCCAGUGAAUACCUAUGCUGUUAUAUAAAGAACCAGUCAUGUUUGUUCUGAGUUUUUCUUUCAUGUUAUUUUUGAAGUACUGUACUGCAAUAUUUUAAAGCAGCAUAAAAGUACAAUCCUUACUGUCCUUCUUCCUAGGCUAAUUAUACCACUGAUACAUCUCAGUAUUUCAGUUAUCACUUCUUCAGUGGCCAUGACAUACAGAUCUAUAUUCCAUUGGGCUUUGGGCUUUUAGACUCUUAAUAUUAAUUCUGAAUACUUUUGCUGGCACAAGAUGUCACCUAUGGCUUUCAAUGAUUGGACAAAGUAUUGUUUAAUUAGAAGCAAGUCAUUUCCAAGGAAAAGCUUUUGUAUACCAAUUUACACCUGAAAUUCACCAUCUCAAAUACUCCAGCUUGUUGCAGUUAGUACAGCAAUGAAAAGAAGAAUUUAUCUUAAAGAAGGCAAGGAAGCUGACAAUGCAUGGCAGUACACAGUAGUCAGAAAAAAAAAAAAAAAAAAAAAGAACACAAAUCACAGGAGAACUACAGUCAGUUACCAAAGUAUUUGCUGCACUGCAAAUUGAAGAGGAGAAAAGAGAAGAUGACAUGGCAAGAAAGAAAAAAGUUUCAACAAGACCACUAUAGGAACAGUAAAAGAGAAGAGGUAGAUAAGAAUUUGGACAGGUGUGCAUGCUGCCGUAAGCCUCUGUGCAGAGCAGGGCUGUACUACUGCAAUCACUAUUAUGAUGUGAAACAGAAGAAUGUGAAGUCUAUACAGAAUGAAGUCUACAGAUACGAAGUCUAUGGCAGAAAUGAAAUUUUUUUGUUGCCUUCAUGA
This 1106-nucleotide long non-coding RNA is filed under the name Anas platyrhynchos platyrhynchos (common mallard). RNAcentral describes it as "lncRNA (ENSAPLG00000025004.1)". Lineage: Eukaryota; Metazoa; Chordata; Aves; Anseriformes; Anatidae. The record is from RNAcentral.